This 1150-nucleotide ribosomal RNA is filed under the name Escherichia coli. Its description in RNAcentral is "bacterial SSU rRNA". It matches the Rfam family "Bacterial small subunit ribosomal RNA", at positions 349 to 1533 of the family's 1533-position model. The record is from RNAcentral. Lineage: Bacteria; Pseudomonadati; Pseudomonadota; Gammaproteobacteria; Enterobacterales; Enterobacteriaceae.
CAGCCCACGGGGGAUUCCCCCCAAUUGGGGGCUAACCCUAAAUGCCAGCCCAUGCCCGGUGGUUAUGAAAGCAGGCCUUCCGGGUUGAUAAAGUACCUUCCAGCGGGGGAGGAAGGGGGUCAAGGUUAAUACCUUUGGUUCAUUGAACGUUACCCGCCAGAAGAAGCCCCCGGGUUAAAUUCGUGCCAAGCAGCCGGCGGUAAUACGGAGGGUGCAAGCGUUAAUCGGAAUUUACUGGGCGUAAAGCGCACGCAGGCGGUUUGUUAAGUUCAGAUGUGAAAUCCCCCGGGCUCAACCUGGGAACUGCAUCUGAUACUGGCAAGCUUGAGUCUCGUAGAGGGGGGUAGAAUUCCAGGUGUAGCGGUGAAAUGCGUAGAGAUCUGGAGGAAUACCGGUGGCGAAGGCGGCCCCCUGGACGAAGACUGACGCUCAGGUGCGAAAGCGUGGGGAGCAAACAGGAUUAGAUACCCUGGUAGUCCACGCCGUAAACGAUGUCGACUUGGAGGUUGUGCCCUUGAGGCGUGGCUUCCGGAGCUAACGCGUUAAGUCGACCGCCUGGGGAGUACGGCCGCAAGGUUAAAACUCAAAUGAAUUGACGGGGGCCCGCACAAGCGGUGGAGCAUGUGGUUUAAUUCGAUGCAACGCGAAGAACCUUACCUGGUCUUGACAUCCACGGAAGUUUUCAGAGAUGAGAAUGUGCCUUCGGGAACCGUGAGACAGGUGCUGCAUGGCUGUCGUCAGCUCGUGUUGUGAAAUGUUGGGUUAAGUCCCGCAACGAGCGCAACCCUUAUCCUUUGUUGCCAGCGGUCCGGCCGGGAACUCAAAGGAGACUGCCAGUGAUAAACUGGAGGAAGGUGGGGAUGACGUCAAGUCAUCAUGGCCCUUACGACCAGGGCUACACACGUGCUACAAUGGCGCAUACAAAGAGAAGCGACCUCGCGAGAGCAAGCGGACCUCAUAAAGUGCGUCGUAGUCCGGAUUGGAGUCUGCAACUCGACUCCAUGAAGUCGGAAUCGCUAGUAAUCGUGGAUCAGAAUGCCACGGUGAAUACGUUCCCGGGCCUUGUACACACCGCCCGCCACACCAAGGAGUCGGUUGUAAACCCCUCCUAAGUAGUAAGUAGCACAAGUAUGUCGCAGAGUGGCGGCCC